Melopsittacus undulatus (budgerigar) is the source of this 1305-nucleotide long non-coding RNA. RefSeq lists it as uncharacterized. The transcript has 2 exons. The record is from RefSeq and is a predicted model, not a curated record. NCBI's taxonomy places the organism in Eukaryota, Metazoa, Chordata, Aves, Psittaciformes, Psittaculidae.
AGCGCACCCCACAUCUGGUGCGGGGCUGGCGGCGCUGCCUGGGCGCCGCUCCCACCCUCUCUGUGGAGCAGGGAUUUGCAGUCAGGCUCCCUCUGUUAUCUGCUGAGACCCGGCUCUUGUGCUCUUCCGUUCAAAUUCAUUUCCCUUCUUCCCGCGGGAGCGAUUUUAAUUAUUUAUUUAUUCUUAUGGGAGGGGGUUAGUCGUUAGCUUUGCAGUCUUGCUAGGAAACAAAUGCAGCAGGCGGUGACUAACAGCUAUUCUCCAGUCUAGACCUCAUGACGAAUGUGAUUCACAAACGGCUUCAGAAGUGUGUGCUGAAGACGGUGCCUCAGACUCUGAAACUUUCGGGUCUUCCGUGGACCAACAUCCACAAGAACCUCGAAACGAGGCUGGGGAACUGGAAAAAGAGUUGACUGCUUAACAGCUAUUACAGUCUCACUGGUGGCAAAGCAGGAAGCCAAUCAGAAAAUGCCAUGGAGGAAAAGGAAGUGCUCCGAAAAUUCUCAUUAUUCACUCAUUAGUGCACCCAUGAAAAUGGGCCACUUUCUGUGUCAGUAUGUCAGCAGGCAGAUAGGCACGAAUUGCUGCCAGGGAGAUCUGUGCUCCUUGCAGCUUUAGGAGAGGCUCUUCCCCCUCCUGGGAGAGGCAGAAAACUGGAAGAAAUCAAGCAAGCACAAGGCUGGCUUCUGCCAGAACAUACGUGCAAUGGGAUUGCCCCUAAUGCUCUGUAGCCAGCUGAGAGAAGAUACUUUCCCCAAGUAAGUGAAGUAAGCAGUGAGAGGUGGGAUACAUGAUUACUUCUGAGGCAGAAGGAAUAAGACCCCAGGCAAAUGAGCUCCAAACAACGCAUCGUGUCUUUUAAUUUUUUUCCAUCUCUGAGUCUGUGGUGCUCAAUUAACCUCUUUGUGCUGUCCAGGGUUGCUGCAUGUUUGCAAAGCUUUAUGCAGCCUUCUGGAUGAUGAGACGUUAAGCACUCGGUUUGCAAUAACCGAUUUUCUCCUGAAGUCAUACAAAAAAAUCUGUUUGAUUUAAACUGUUUCCCAAGCAUCUUGGUUAAUAACAAAAGACAGUCCACUCCAAGAGAAUCUAACUUGAGGAAGCCAUGAAAUUUAAUUCAUUUCUGCAACUUAAAUAUAUAAUCAGUGACAUAUGGUAAUACUAAAUACGGGAGGAAAUGUCAUUGUUUAAGUCAAAUUUCUGCAUUCAGUCAAAAUCCAAUAGCUGUAACAUCAAACUGUAGUUUCCAUUGUGCAGGAAAUAAAGCAUCAUUUUUUCAAAUAAAAGAGACAUGCAAUUGCAUGCCUA